RNAcentral lists this ribosomal RNA (440 nucleotides) under uncultured bacterium. RNAcentral's name for it is "bacterial SSU rRNA". It matches the Rfam family "Bacterial small subunit ribosomal RNA", at positions 958 to 1397 of the family's 1533-position model. The record is from RNAcentral.
AACGCGAAGAACCUUACCUGGGCUUGAACCGCACAGGACCAGCUUCAGAAAUGAGGCCUUCCCGCAAUGGACCUGUAUAUAGGUGCUGCAUGGCUGUCGUCAGCUCGUGUCGUGAGAUGUUGGGUUAAGUCCCGCAACGAGCGCAACCCUUAUUACCAGUUGCUACCAUUUAGUUGAGCACUCUGGUGAGACCGCCUCGGAUAACGGGGAGGAAGGCGGGGAUGACGUCAAGUCCUCAUGGCCUUUAUGUCCAGGGCUACACACGUGCUACAAUGGCCGGUACAAACCGUCGCAAACCCGUGAGGGGGAGCUAAUCGGAAAAAGCCGGCCUCAGUUCGGAUUGGAGUCUGCAACUCGACUCCAUGAAGCUGGAAUCGCUAGUAAUCGCGGAUCAGAAUGCCGCGGUGAAUACGUUCCCGGGCCUUGUACACACCGACAUA